RNAcentral lists this ribosomal RNA (763 nucleotides) under uncultured Streptococcus sp. Its description in RNAcentral is "bacterial SSU rRNA". It matches the Rfam family "Bacterial small subunit ribosomal RNA", at positions 28 to 776 of the family's 1533-position model. Lineage: Bacteria; Bacillati; Bacillota; Bacilli; Lactobacillales; Streptococcaceae. The record is from RNAcentral.
GACGAACGCUGGCGGCGUGCCUAAUACAUGCAAGUAGAACGCUGAAGGAGGAGCUUGCUUCUCUGGAUGAGUUGCGAACGGGUGAGUAACGCGUAGGUAACCUGCCUGGUAGCGGGGGAUAACUAUUGGAAACGAUAGCUAAUACCGCAUAAGAACAGUUGUUGCAUGACAGCUGUUUAAAAGGUGCAAUUGCAUUACUACCAGAUGGACCUGCGUUGUAUUAGCUAGUUGGUGGGGUAACGGCUCACCAAGGCAACGAUACAUAGCCGACCUGAGAGGGUGAUCGGCCACACUGGGACUGAGACACGGCCCAGACUCCUACGGGAGGCAGCAGUAGGGAAUCUUCGGCAAUGGACGGAAGUCUGACCGAGCAACGCCGCGUGAGUGAAGAAGGUUUUCGGAUCGUAAAGCUCUGUUGUAAGAGAAGAACGAGUGUGAGAGUGGAAAGUUCACACUGUGACGGUAUCUUACCAGAAAGGGACGGCUAACUACGUGCCAGCAGCCGCGGUAAUACGUAGGUCCCGAGCGUUGUCCGGAUUUAUUGGGCGUAAAGCGAGCGCAGGCGGUUAGAUAAGUCUGAAGUUAAAGGCUGUGGCUUAACCAUAGUACGCUUUGGAAACUGUUUAACUUGAGUGCAAGAGGGGAGAGUGGAAUUCCAUGUGUAGCGGUGAAAUGCGUAGAUAUAUGGAGGAACACCGGUGGCGAAAGCGGCUCUCUGGCUUGUAACUGACGCUGAGGCUCGAAAGCGUGGGGAGCAAACAGG